RNAcentral lists this ribosomal RNA (305 nucleotides) under uncultured bacterium. Its description in RNAcentral is "bacterial SSU rRNA". It matches the Rfam family "Bacterial small subunit ribosomal RNA", at positions 332 to 657 of the family's 1533-position model. The record is from RNAcentral.
CUGACCUACGGGGGGCAGCAGUGGGGAAUAGUGCACAAUGGGGGAAACCCUGAUGCAGCGACGCCGCGUGAGUGAAGAAGUAUUUCGGUAUGUAAAGCUCUAUCAGCAGGGAAGAAAAUGACGGUACCUGACUAAGAAGCCCCGGCUAACUACGUGCCAGCAGCCGCGGUAAUACGUAGGGGGCAAGCGUUAUCCGGAUUUAUUGGGUUUAAAGGGUGCGUAGGCGGACAGUCAAGUCAGCGGUAAAAAUGCGGUGCUCAACGCAGUACAGCCGUUGAAACUGGCAGUGUUGAGUGGGCGAGAAG